This is a long non-coding RNA of Zeugodacus cucurbitae (melon fly), 1346 nucleotides long. RefSeq lists it as uncharacterized. The record is from RefSeq and is a predicted model, not a curated record. NCBI's taxonomy places the organism in Eukaryota, Metazoa, Arthropoda, Insecta, Diptera, Tephritidae. The transcript has 3 exons.
CAUUACACUCCCAGCAAGUCAUGGGUACUGAAAUUCCAACACAUUCAAAGAAAUUUUAAUAACACCACUACAUACACACAUACGCAACAAAGGGUAAAAUGUGCAUAAACAUUUAACUCAAAUCUUCUCUCAUACAGCACCCUGAAUGAUAGAAAGAAACAACCAAAGUUCUCGUGUUUGAACAAGUUUUAUUUUGAGCUAUAUCAAGGCUGCUUGUGAAGUAUUAUUUUGCGUGUUUUAUUUAAUUCAGUGAUCUGCAGCCUAAUUAAAGUUUAAAUUAUUGAAGCACGCAUUUUUAAAUAAGUUAAACGUAAAAUAAAAGUUUUCUAAAACCAAAAUAUGGAAUUGAAGAGGGUGAUACAGUAAUACUUCAUAGAACUGUCAUUUCGAAGCACGCAAUAGAAGCUACGCCAACAAUGGUCAACAUCAAUGGCGAAACCAUUGAAUACAUAUAUCAAACCUCAUAUGGCGCCUUAAAGGUACGCAAACUUAUUGGUGUCACUUAUUGUAGCAGCGUAGAACUUUCGAAGCGAUGGAACAUGUGUUGCAAGCAAAUCCAGAACUAUGGAUGCAAACGCUUCUACAUGGAACACAAAUCAUUUACACAACAAAUAUUAAGUUUAAUGUAACUUUUUUACGUGCAAUUAAACCUUUUGGUCAACACAAGCACGAGAAUUGGAACGAUAUGGUUUAGGUGCCUUUGAAACCGUUGAUUAUCACAGCGUGUGUCAACUGGGUUUUGCCAAUGAGCUAGAGGACAAAGCAGUUUCAGUAUUUUUGGGCUUAUCGGCACUGCCGUGCCAUUAGAAGCUACAACACAGAAAAUAAAGGAUACAUUUAAGUGAAUAUAUGUGCUCAUAGAAAUUUAAAAACUUUUUGUAUGUUUAAUUGGGAGGACUUUUUUGAUUCAUUUUCACCUUGUUUUGAGGAAUCAUAACGUUGUUGUAUCGCUUUAAAAGGACAUGGAUUCAACGAAAUUAGUUCAGUGGAAACACAACACCAAGAGUAUGGAUGUUAAGACUAGAACGUUGCCCGUGCUAGAUUUAGAAUUCCUGAAACAUAAGAAACCCUCCUCCCAGAAAUUGGAUGAAUCUAGUACUAGUGAAAUUAGUGAAAGAACAGAUCUUACAAAAACUCCUAAAGAGACCAAAAGAGUCCUCACAUACUGUGCGCAGCUUACACUUCCACCCCGCACGGGAUAUCUGAGAUUUGCCACUCUUCCUUCAGCCUUUGUCCGAUAGCAAAAAAUGUUCAACUAUUCAAUUUGUUUACAAAUGUAAAUAGUGUAGUACGAUAAUACAUGUAUAAAUUAAAUAUAAUAAUAAACACCUGAAUGGUUUGAUAUU